CGAAACAUGGCAACAGGGCUGAG
RNAcentral lists this non-coding RNA (23 nucleotides) under Cricetulus griseus (Chinese hamster). The record is from RNAcentral. Lineage: Eukaryota; Metazoa; Chordata; Mammalia; Rodentia; Cricetidae.